Molecule: ribosomal RNA, 253 nt
Filed under: uncultured bacterium
Lineage: Bacteria
Description: partial 16S ribosomal RNA
Rfam family: Bacterial small subunit ribosomal RNA
Source: RNAcentral
UACGAAGGGUGCUAGCGUUGUUCGGAAUCACUGGGCGUAAAGCGCGCGCAGGCGGCUAUACAAGUCAGAGGUGAAAUGCCAGGGCUUAACCUUGGAAUUGCCUUUGAAACUGUAUGGCUGGAGUUUGGUAGGGGAUAGCGGAAUUGCUAAUGUAGAGGUGAAAUUCGUAGAUAUUAGCAGGAACACCGGUGGCGAAGGCGGCUAUCUGGACCAAUACUGACGCUGAGGCGCGAAAGCGUGGGGAUCAAACAGG